Molecule: ribosomal RNA, 134 nt
Filed under: uncultured eukaryote
Lineage: Eukaryota
Description: partial 18S ribosomal RNA
Rfam family: Eukaryotic small subunit ribosomal RNA
Source: RNAcentral
UCGUGGAGUAAUUUGUCUGGUUAAUUCCGUUAACGAACGAGACCUUAUCUCACUAAUUGGGAUAUGUAUUCUAUACAUAAUCCCUCUUAGAAGGACGGUGAAUACAUAAUUCAAGGAAGCGUGAGGCAAUAACA